This is a long non-coding RNA of Melopsittacus undulatus (budgerigar), 1221 nucleotides long. RefSeq lists it as uncharacterized. The transcript has 3 exons. Lineage: Eukaryota; Metazoa; Chordata; Aves; Psittaciformes; Psittaculidae. The record is from RefSeq and is a predicted model, not a curated record.
AGGGGGAGAAGGAAGAAGGCAGGGAGAGCCUUUUUUCCCUAGGAAACAACUCCAAGUCACUGUUUAUGUUAGCGAAUCGUUUCCAGCAUUAAGGUGGCUACUAGCUUUCCAUAUAAGACACUGUUUGGCUUGGAAAGGUGGUUUGGCUUCACAAUUGCCAGAGAUAUUCAGACAGCCAAGAAGACUGUUUCUCCAAACUUUGAAGUAAAGUGGUUAAAGUUGGUUUUGAGCAUCCCCCAUUUGAACAGUUGGACUUCAUACAAAAUCUCACAGAACAUCUAUCUGCACCAUUAAAUGCUUAAAUGUGUUUUCCAGACUGGCCCUAUGUCAACAAAUAGGUUGUGUUGCAAAAGGAUUUUAAGCCAUUUCUUCAGAGUGAAACCAGCCAUGAGAAUUCUGGCACAUUCCUAAAUUUGUUCCAUUGGAUUCUUUGUGUAACUGUAAGUCUAGUUUUAACAGGUGCUGUUGAAGAUUGUGCUGUUUUAUGAGGAACAUUUUAGUCAGCUCCACUGAAAAUUCAUGACUCACCAAGGGUCUGUCAAUCUUUUAUUAUGCUUUGCUGUGUGACGGAAUGGAAACCAACCUCUUUAUCGGCAAUCCAACAAAAAUGUGUCAUCAUCCCAGCUGCACCAGAACUUUAUUAGUAAAUGUCUGUAAAUAUCUGAUGGUGUAUGCAAGGAGUUUGGUUCUAUUCCCACUGAAGUCAAUGGGAGUUUUGCUACUGACUACAACAAAGUAUCUUAUCCUUGCAUGAACUUAAUGAAUGUGUCAUUUUCAUGAAUAGCAUACACCAUGUUUUAUUAUGAUUAUUUGGUUUACUAAUAUUUGAUUAUUGGUUACUUAAAACUUAAUGUGUUUGACAGUGGGAUACACUGUCUCCCGUGAACUAUGUACUUUGUGCAGCUCAGUAAUGGAAAUAAGAUAGAUAUUGGCAUAUUAGGGACAACUAAGAAUCCAUCUGCCGAAGAUGAUUCCUCAGCUAACUCCUGUAACUUGCAAACAUAACGCCCAGGGCAAGAUGAUAUGCAGCCAAAAUCCAGGAGGUUCCACUGAUUUUUAGCUUUUAAAUGGCCCUGAAAAGCCUUUGCAGGAACAGAGAGCAGUGCUUCAUGGUCUGUACAUCGCAAAUCAGCACUGCAGAGACAGAAAUCGGGAAACUAUGAAGUUAUCUGUCUUUGGCUGAGUUGUUGGCUUCUGAGCUUGAUCACCAAUAUAUUAAUA